CACAUGCAUAGCUGCAUUAUUCAUUCAUUAGCUCUCUACCCUCCACACAGCCUCAGCUGAGCUUCAGAUCACUUUGUCAUGAAGCACUUUCGAUCAACACUGAUUAUUAUACAAAAAGAAAGAUCUUGGACAUCAGUGUGUUUUUUAUUUUUAUUUUUUUAAACAGAUGCAAAAGUGGAUUUAAACCCAGUACAUUGUGAACAUGGUGUGGCGUUCUCAACAUCAUGUAAGCAUCAUUCAAAGACUCCAAUGGAAAGCUGGAUUAAAGUCCCCCCCCGUCCCCCGUCCCCCCCCCCCACCAAAACACCCCAGAUUCCCAGAUAAGUGGCAUGAAAAGUGAAACCUGCGUGGCAGAGGGGCUGUUGGGGUUUGGGGGUUAGGGAUUAGAGGUUAGGGGUUAGGUGGUGUUUAGGUCUCUGAUUCUAGGCAACUGGUCGAUUGGUGUUGUUGGGGUUUGGGUUGGGGUCUCUGAUUCUAGGCAACUGGUUGAUUGGUUCAUUGGGAAAGAGAAGUGAUGUUGGGGUUGGGGUUGGGGUUUGGGUUGGGGUAGUGUUGGGGUCUAUGAUUCUAGGUGACUGGUUGAUUGGUUCAUUGGGAAAGAGAGGUGUUGUUGGGGUUGGGGUUGGGGUUUGGGUUGGGGUAGUGUUGGGGUCUAUGAUUCUAGGCGAUUGGUUCAUUGGGAAAGAGAAGUGUUGUUGGGAUUGGGGUUGGCUGUCCUUUCCUCUGAAACUGCAGUUUUGAAAUGGCA
Long non-coding RNA from Polyodon spathula (Mississippi paddlefish), 748 nucleotides. RefSeq lists it as uncharacterized. The transcript is spliced from 2 exons. Lineage: Eukaryota; Metazoa; Chordata; Actinopteri; Acipenseriformes; Polyodontidae. The record is from RefSeq and is a predicted model, not a curated record.